This 368-nucleotide long non-coding RNA is filed under the name Piliocolobus tephrosceles (Ugandan red Colobus). RNAcentral describes it as "lncRNA (ENSPTEG00000011072.1)". Lineage: Eukaryota; Metazoa; Chordata; Mammalia; Primates; Cercopithecidae. The record is from RNAcentral.
GAGGUGAUCUUCCCGUGUCUGAGUUACCCAAGAGGAGGCUGAAUGUCAUGGAUGCUGCGAAAGGAUGGCUGUGCUGGCUGGGACGUUGGAUAAGAUUGAGCACAGAGUCAUAACAAGAAGAUCACAACAUUUAUAUCCGCCAUGAGGAGGCAAACUGACCUGUUGCUUUUUCUCUCUAUGGUUGAGUGAAUAUUGACUGAAGCCCUUGUACCCAUUGGCCCAUGAACACAAAGAAGUUUUAUCUAAGAGCCAUGCUUCACAGCAGGAACUGUUUCUCGCAGCUUUUGUGAACCAAGAAAGGCAAUAUUCUUCUGCGACUGUCUUGCUAACCUUCCUUGCACACUCUGUUCUGGAGAACCUUGGCUGUU